Molecule: ribosomal RNA, 503 nt
Filed under: uncultured bacterium
Lineage: Bacteria
Description: bacterial SSU rRNA
Rfam family: Bacterial small subunit ribosomal RNA
Source: RNAcentral
GGCUCAGGAUGAACGCUGGCGGCGUGCCUAAUACAUGCAAGUCGAACGCACAGCGAAAGGUGCUUGCACCUUUCAAGUGAGUGGCGAACGGGUGAGUAACACGUGGAUAACCUACCUCAAGGUUGGGGAUAACAUUUGGAAACAGAUGCUAAUACCGAAUAAAACUUCGUAUCGCAUGAUACAGGUUAAAAGGCGCUACGGCGUCACCUAGAGAUGGAUCCGCGGUGCAUUAGUUAGUUGGUGGGGUAAAGGCCUACCAAGACAAUGAUGCAUAGCCGAGUUGAGAGACUGAUCGGCCACAUUGGGACUGAGACACGGCCCAAACUCCUACGGGAGGCUGCAGUAGGGAAUCUUCCACAAUGGGCGAAAGCCUGAUGGAGCAACGCCGCGUGUGUGAUGAAGGCUUUCGGGUCGUAAAGCACUGUUGUAUGGGAAGAACAGCUAGAGUAGGGAAUGACUUUAGUUUGACGGUACCAUACCAGAAAGGGACGGCUAAAUACGUG